Molecule: long non-coding RNA, 2557 nt
Filed under: Nicotiana tabacum (common tobacco)
Lineage: Eukaryota; Viridiplantae; Streptophyta; Magnoliopsida; Solanales; Solanaceae
Description: long non-coding RNA (NTAB_LNC017313)
Source: RNAcentral
UUAAAUUACCUUCCGUUCAAGACAUAUUCCUUUCCAUAAUUAUCAACAUGUAAUAAAGGCAACAUAAUUAAAAAUUUCAAGCGGAAGUCUUAACUUAUAUAAAAGCUGAAUAGAAAUGCGGAAAGUUUAACAUAAUUCUCUACCCCAGAUUGGUGUCACAAUGCUCACGAACUUCUAAGAUUUACUAAAUACGAUCGUCUGAAAGAAAAUUAUAAACUGUUUGUUUCGGUACAAAAGAUAACAAACUGAAUAAAGAGAGAGAGACUUCGGGCCUGCGGACGUCAGCAAGACUACCUCGGAGUCUCUGGACUGAAGUCAGCUCCCGAUCAAAUCCUACUGCUGAGGUCCAAAAGCUGCUCCUGGAUCUGUGCAAAAAGAUGCACAGAGUGUAGCAUCAGCACAACCGACCCCAUGUGCUGGUAAGUACCUGGCCUAACCCCGGCGAAGUAGUGACGAGGCUAGACAGGACCUACCAAAAACAACUUGUGCAGAUAUAUGCAAUAAAAAGAAAUAUACAGAAUUUAAACAGCUAAGAGGGGGGAAAGCAUGCUAUGGGGAGCUAACAGUUUCAAAUAGAAAUCCUCAAUAACAGAAAGAAAUAACAAAGCCAGAAUGUCAACAAGUAUUAAAAGUCACAAUAUAUACUGCAUCACCCUUCGUGCUUUUACUCUCGUCCUCACCAAAACAAUAUAUGGCAUCACCCUUCGUGCUCUACGCUCUUCCUCACCCAAACAAAAAUCACAAGGCAAAUAGGGUAAGGGAAUCUAUAACCUCGAAGUAAAUCAAAUAACAACAAGUAAUGAAAGAAACAACAUAACUCGGAUAUCAACAAAGAAUCAGAAAGCAACAAAUGCACGACAUCACCUUUCGUGCUUUUACUCUCGUCCUCACCAAAGCAAUCAUAUAAAUGAAAUGUGCAUGGCAUCACCCUUCGUGCUUUUACUCUCUUUCCUCACCAUAUAAUCAAUAAAAUUGGCACAGAAUGGUACAUCGUGCGGCACGACAUCACCCUUCGUGUUUUACACUCUUUCCUCACAAUAGCAAACAAUGCACGGUAUCACCCUUCGUGCUUUAUCACUCUUCCUCACCCAAGCAACAAUCACAAAUAAGGGGCAGGGGAUUAGACAAAUAAUAAUAGAAACCCCGGUAAGGGAAUACAAAUAAAUAGCUAACUCCCGGAAAGGGAGCACAAUUAAGCAGUUAAAACCCGGCAAGGGAACAAUAUCAAUAAUCUCAGCAUCCCGGCAAGGGAGAUAGUCAACAAAGCAACAAGCAUCCCAGCAAGGGAGCAAUUCAAUAAUUCUUUCUCUUUCUUUCACUUUUUACCUCUUAUCUCACUUUACCACCUNNNNNNNNNNNNNNNNNNNNNNNNNCUUCCUCAAACUCUUCACACUAUAUGAAAUUUAUCAAUUUAACAAGGAAGAGGUAUCACAAAAUUCGAAUAAACACAAAUAAGACUCACGGUCAUGCUAGACUCUGGUGUAUCGAUACUCGUCACCAUGCUUAUACGUCGUAUUCAACAAUUAUCACAUAUCAAAUAGGACUCGACUCAUAAUUCCUCAAGCUAAGGUUAGACCAAACACUUACCUCGCUAACAGAGAGUUUCUCCAACCUUGCAUCGUCUAGAACACCAAUCAAACGACCUCAAUCUAUGCAAAUAUUAAUUAACAAUGUCAAAUAUGUUAGUUGGAAUUACCUCAUACUUCUCGUACAAAAUUCAAUAAUUGGCUUACUAUCUAUUCAGCUAAUCCUUUAAUCACUCAUAUAUGUAAAACUCAUUAACUUAAAAAGGUUCCUAAGUAUACUGGACCUUACGUUUUGUUAAUAAACCCCUAGCUAUACGUGACUUAAAAAAACAUUCAAGUCUAUUUACAUGAAUAUGUAAUGUAACUAAUCUAUCAAUAAGGGAAUCUACAUGAAUAUGUAAUGUAACAUUCAAGUCUAUUUACAUAAAAUAUUACCAAGAUCACUGUGUUCCAACUCUUGUCAACGUUGUAAAUGAAUUCAGAGAAUUAACUUAUUCUUUUAUUAUAAUUACUUUGUUAUCAGAAAAGAUCUCCAAUAAAAUAAAUAAAAAUUUAUACCUGAUUUGCUAUUGAAAGGUACGAUACUAUACAUUGUCUGUUAAAGGCACAACGUGAUAGAUGAAACAUCAACAAAGAAAGAAAAACAAGAAAUAAAAAUAAAUUUAAAAAAAAAAUUGCUGACUCUUUACAUGCAUAACUGAAGCAUCUUCACUUAAUUAUUUCUCCUUAGUUUAAUCCAAAAUACAGUUAUGGGAUGAAUUUAACAAUAUACCUGGUCAACUCCACCAAAGACCCUCUACAGCCUUUUCUUCCUACUCGCAUGCGUCGGCGACUACUUGAAGCCCUUUUCUCUCUUCUUUAGGUAUUUGCGUAUCUAUUAGAACUAAAAGAACAAUUUUACUUAUUUACUCUACUUCAAACCUAGCAGCAACGUAAAAUGGGCUUGGCCCAAAUCUUUCGUGCCUAUUAUUCCAAAGCUAUUAUAUUGCUCCCUAGCCUAGGUAAUUAUAAAUUAUGCCUACUAACUAUUU